RNAcentral lists this ribosomal RNA (269 nucleotides) under uncultured bacterium. RNAcentral's name for it is "partial 16S ribosomal RNA". The record is from RNAcentral.
CUGCUGCCUCCCGUAGGAGUCUGGUCCGUGUCUCAGUACCAGUGCGGGGGGCCUUCCUCUCAGAACCCCUACGCAUCGUCGCCACGGUGGGCCGUCACCCCGCCGUCUAGCUAAUGCGCCGCAUGCCCAUCCGCCACCGGAUCGCUCCUUUGGCCACCGGAGGAUGCCCUCCGGUGGCGUCACGGGGUAUUAGGCCGCGUUUCCGCGGGUUAUCCCCCUGUGGCGGCCAGGUUGCAUACGUGUUACUCACCCGUGCGCCGGUCGCCGGG